Molecule: transfer RNA, 84 nt
Filed under: Prevotella sp.
Lineage: Bacteria; Pseudomonadati; Bacteroidota; Bacteroidia; Bacteroidales; Prevotellaceae
Description: tRNA-Leu
Rfam family: tRNA
About the family: Transfer RNA (tRNA) molecules are approximately 80 nucleotides in length. Their secondary structure includes four short double-helical elements and three loops (D, anti-codon, and T loops).
Source: RNAcentral
GCGGGUAUGGUGGAAUGGUAGACGCGGGGCACUCAAAAUGCCUUGGAGAGAUCCGUGGGGGUUCAAGUCCCUCUACCCGCACAA